ACUUAAAUUGAAGAGUUUGAUCAUGGCUCAGAUUGAACGCUGGCGGCAGGCCUAACACAUGCAAGUCGAGCGGUAGCACAGAGAGCUUGCUCUCGGGUGACGAGCGGCGGACGGGUGAGUAAUGUCUGGGAAACUGCCUGAUGGAGGGGGAUAACUACUGGAAACGGUAGCUAAUACCGCAUAAUGUCGCAAGACCAAAGUGGGGGACCUUCGGGCCUCAUGCCAUCAGAUGUGCCCAGAUGGGAUUAGCUAGUAGGUGGGGUAACGGCUCACCUAGGCGACGAUCCCUAGCUGGUCUGAGAGGAUGACCAGCCACACUGGAACUGAGACACGGUCCAGACUCCUACGGGAGGCAGCAGUGGGGAAUAUUGCACAAUGGGCGCAAGCCUGAUGCAGCCAUGCCGCGUGUGUGAAGAAGGCCUUCGGGUUGUAAAGCACUUUCAGCGGGGAGGAAGGCGAUAAGGUUAAUAACCUUGUCGAUUGACGUUACCCGCAGAAGAAGCACCGGCUAACUCCGUGCCAGCAGCCGCGGUAAUACGGAGGGUGCAAGCGUUAAUCGGAAUUACUGGGCGUAAAGCGCACGCAGGCGGUCUGUCAAGUCGGAUGUGAAAUCCCCGGGCUCAACCUGGGAACUGCAUUCGAAACUGGCAGGCUAGAGUCUUGUAGAGGGGGGUAGAAUUCCAGGUGUAGCGGUGAAAUGCGUAGAGAUCUGGAGGAAUACCGGUGGCGAAGGCGGCCCCCUGGACAAAGACUGACGCUCAGGUGCGAAAGCGUGGGGAGCAAACAGGAUUAGAUACCCUGGUAGUCCACGCCGUAAACGAUGUCGAUUUGGAGGUUGUGCCCUUGAGGCGUGGCUUCCGGAGCUAACGCGUUAAAUCGACCGCCUGGGGAGUACGGCCGCAAGGUUAAAACUCAAAUGAAUUGACGGGGGCCCGCACAAGCGGUGGAGCAUGUGGUUUAAUUCGAUGCAACGCGAAGAACCUUACCUGGUCUUGACAUCCACAGAACUUUCCAGAGAUGGAUUGGUGCCUUCGGGAACUGUGAGACAGGUGCUGCAUGGCUGUCGUCAGCUCGUGUUGUGAAAUGUUGGGUUAAGUCCCGCAACGAGCGCAACCCUUAUCCUUUGUUGCCAGCGGUUAGGCCGGGAACUCAAAGGAGACUGCCAGUGAUAAACU
RNAcentral lists this ribosomal RNA (1175 nucleotides) under Klebsiella pneumoniae. RNAcentral describes it as "bacterial SSU rRNA". It matches the Rfam family "Bacterial small subunit ribosomal RNA", at positions 1 to 1164 of the family's 1533-position model. Lineage: Bacteria; Pseudomonadati; Pseudomonadota; Gammaproteobacteria; Enterobacterales; Enterobacteriaceae. The record is from RNAcentral.